RNAcentral lists this ribosomal RNA (1313 nucleotides) under Eudarcia gwangneungensis. RNAcentral's name for it is "16S ribosomal RNA". Lineage: Eukaryota; Metazoa; Arthropoda; Insecta; Lepidoptera; Meessiidae. The record is from RNAcentral.
AGUAAUUUUAUAAUAAUAAAAAUAUUUAAAUGGGGGUUUAAGUAUUUUUUAAAAAAAAAUUAUUUAUUUUAUAGGUAAUUAGUAUUGUAUAAGAAAUUUGAAAAAUUUUAAAUAGUUAACUGUAUUAAAGUAAAUUUUAUUUAUUGUAUCUUGUGUAUCAGAGUUUAUUAAAAAUAAUUUUAAAAUUGAAAAAUUCUCGAAUUUAAAAGAGUUAAUUAAUUAAUAAAUUUAUUGUAAUAUAAAUAUUUUAAAUAAUUAAUUAGUAAUGAAAUGUUAAUCGUUUUUAAAUAUAUCUAGUUUUUUUAGAAAUAAAUUUAAUUUAAAAUUUAAUUUAUUAAGAAAAAUUAAUUAAUUUAAUUUUUUAAAAUUAAAUUUAAAUAUUUAAAGGGAUAAGCUUUUAAGUAAAGAUUUAUAAUAAAAAAUAGUUUAUUAAAAAUUUUUAAAAUUUAAAUUAUUUAUUAAUUAUAGUUUGUUAAAAAUAAUUUUUUUUAAAUAAAAUUUUUUAUUUUUUAAUUUUAUAUAAAAAUAUAAUUUUUUAAUAAAAUAAGAAUAGAAAUAAUGAUAAAAUUAGUAUAUUAAUAUUUUUAUUAAAUUUAUGGAAAAAAAAUUAAUUUAAAUUUAAUUAUAGGAAUUCGGCAAAUAUUUAUAUUCACCUGUUUAUCAAAAACAUGUCUUUUUGGGAAUAAUUUAAAGUCUAAUCUGCCCACUGAUAAAAUUAAAGGGCUGCAGUAUUUUGACUGUACAAAGGUAGCAUAAUCAAUAGUCUCUUAAUUAGUGACUUGUAUGAAUGAUUGGAUGAAAUAUAAACUAUCUUUAAUUAAAAAGUAGAAUUUAAUUUUUUUAUUAAAAAGUAAAAAUAAAGUUAAAAGACGAGAAGACCCUAUAGAGUUUUAUAGAUUUUAUAAGUAAUAUUUAUUUAAAAAUUUAAAUUAUUUAAAAAUAAUUUAUUUUAUUGGGGUGAUGGAAAAAUUUAAAUAACUUUUUUUUAUAAAUUUACAUAAAUUAAUGGUUUAAUGAUCCAAUAAUAUUGAUUAUAAGAAAAAAUUACCUUAGGGAUAACAGCGUUAUUUUUUUUUUUAGAACAUAUAAGAAAAAAAGUUUGCGACCUCGAUGUUGGAUUAAGAUAAAAAUUAAAUGCAAAAGUUUAAAGUUUUGAUCUGUUCGAUCAUUAAAAUCUUACAUGAUCUGAGUUCAAACCGGUGUGAGCCAGGUUGGUUUCUAUCUUUAAUUAAAAAUAAUAUUUUAGUACGAAAGGAUCAAAUAUUAAAAAUAAUUUUAUUAUUCUGAAUUUCAAUAAUUAAAUUUUAAAUUUA